UGCAGUCGACGAUGAAGCCCUUCGGGGUGGAUUAGUGGCGAACGGGUGAGUAACACGUGGGCAAUCUGCCCUUCACUCUGGGACAAGCCCUGGAAACGGGGUCUAAUACCGGAUAACACUCUGUCCCGCAUGGGACGGGGUUAAAAGCUCCGGCGGUGAAGGAUGAGCCCGCGGCCUAUCAGCUUGUUGGUGGGGUAAUGGCCUACCAAGGCGACGACGGGUAGCCGGCCUGAGAGGGCGACCGGCCACACUGGGACUGAGACACGGCCCAGACUCCUACGGGAGGCAGCAGUGGGGAAUAUUGCACAAUGGGCGAAAGCCUGAUGCAGCGACGCCGCGUGAGGGAUGACGGCCUUCGGGUUGUAAACCUCUUUCAGCAGGGAAGAAGCGAAAGUGACGGUACCUGCAGAAGAAGCGCCGGCUAACUACGUGCCAGCAGCCGCGGUAAUACGUAGGGCGCAAGCGUUGUCCGGAAUUAUUGGGCGUAAAGAGCUCGUAGGCGGCUUGUCACGUCGGAUGUGAAAGCCCGGGGCUUAACCCCGGGUCUGCAUUCGAUACGGGCUAGCUAGAGUGUGGUAGGGGAGAUCGGAA
Molecule: ribosomal RNA, 591 nt
Filed under: Streptomyces sp. AIR-SC-I-7
Lineage: Bacteria; Bacillati; Actinomycetota; Actinomycetes; Kitasatosporales; Streptomycetaceae
Description: bacterial SSU rRNA
Rfam family: Bacterial small subunit ribosomal RNA
Source: RNAcentral